Nicotiana attenuata is the source of this 107-nucleotide non-coding RNA. Lineage: Eukaryota; Viridiplantae; Streptophyta; Magnoliopsida; Solanales; Solanaceae. The record is from Rfam.
AUUCCACUAUGUUGACACUUUCUAACAAUCUCCUUAAACCUUUCCCAUGCUUCAAACACAGUUUCAGUCUCGUUAUGGAAGAAGUCAUGGAUUUCUCUUCUAAACUU